RNAcentral lists this ribosomal RNA (1155 nucleotides) under Triticum aestivum (bread wheat). RNAcentral describes it as "partial small subunit ribosomal RNA". The record is from RNAcentral. Lineage: Eukaryota; Viridiplantae; Streptophyta; Magnoliopsida; Poales; Poaceae.
AUGCCUACGACGACGGACGGGGCCGACGCCCCCGACCUCGCCGGCCGCGCAAUGACCCGCUCCUCCUCCUCCUCCAGCCCACCGCCAGCCGCGUGCCACCUCCAGAUCACAACUGCUGCCACCACCGCCGCGACCGCAAACACCUCCGCCAAUCCCUCCUCCCCCGUCGCCCAGUCCUCCUCCUCCUCCUCCCGCGUCGCCGGAGCCGCCGCCGGGUCCGGGCAGAACCAGGCCUGCGCGGCCUGCAAGUACCAGCGCCGCAAGUGCAACCCGGACUGCCCGCUCGCCCCUUACUUCCCCGCCGACCAGCAGCGCCGCUUCCUCAACGCGCACCGCCUCUUCGGCGUCGGCCACAUCCAGGCCACGCUCCGGGAGACCCCGCCCGACCUGCACACCGACGCCAUGCGCGCGCUCAUCUUCCAGGCCGAGGCCCGGGCCUACGACCCCGUCGGGGGCUGCUGCCGCAUCAUCCUCGACUACGAGAGGCAGCUCGGCCUCGCACAGGCCGAGCUCGCCGCGCUCCUACGCCACCUCGAUCUCUGCCGCCACCAGGCCGCCGCCGCCGCCAUCGCCCAGGACGCGCUCGUCAACGACCCAGGGAUGCUGCUGCUUGCCCCCGGGCCCAACCCGGCCGAUGUCCAGGACGGUGUCGCCGCUCUCGACCCGCUCUACGCCGGCCACGAGAUCAGCAAUGGCCAGGCUAACCACCACGACCACGAUCAUUAUCUGGUCGGCGCCGCGGACCAGCUGCAGCUGCAACCGCAGAAGCACCAGCCGUACGACUACUUCUACUACGACGGGCCGGCGGCCGUCGACGAGACCAGCAGCCACGCUUGGAGCAAUGCCGGCAACGUGCAGCAGCAGUACGGAAAUGGCGUCAAGGCCGAAUCUCCGGUGGCGCUCGACGAUCAGAUCGAGACACAGUUCGUCGACGCUUUCGACGUGAAGCCAGAGAUAGCAGCAGCAUCAUCAUCAGUCGCCGUCAUGGAACACGACGACGGCGGCAGUGGCGCCAGCUUCGACCACCGCCACCUGGAGCAGAAGGUGGUGGCCACCGUGGUGAAAAAUGAACGGCUUGACCACCAGGCGGCGGCGCACAUGGCAGCAGAGUCGUCCUCGCGCUGCCAGCUGGAGCUAGGGUUCACUUCCUUCUGA